This is a non-coding RNA of Microdochium nivale, 95 nucleotides long. The record is from the annotation of a GenBank genome assembly. Lineage: Eukaryota; Fungi; Ascomycota; Sordariomycetes; Xylariales; Microdochiaceae.
GGGCUAAUAGCUCAUUUGGUAGAGCGUUCGCUUUGCAUUGCAACAUCAGGUUCUUAGCUUGCGAAAGGUACAGGGUUCGACUCCCUGUUAGUCCA